Molecule: ribosomal RNA, 406 nt
Filed under: uncultured bacterium
Lineage: Bacteria
Description: partial 16S ribosomal RNA
Rfam family: Bacterial small subunit ribosomal RNA
Source: RNAcentral
AUUGAACGCUGGCGGCAGGCCUAACACAUGCAAGUCGAACGCGUGGCGGACGGGUGAGUAAUGUCUGGGAAACUGCCAGGUGGAGGGGGAUAAAUACUGGAAACGGUAGCUUAUACCGCAUACUAUCAGAUGUGCCCAGAUGGGAUUCGCGUGUUGGUGGGAGAACGGUUCACCAAGUCGACGAUCCCUCGCUGGUCUGUGAGGAUGACCAGCCACACUGGUACUGAGACACGGUCCAGACUCCUACGGGAGGCAGCAGUGGGGAAUAUUGCACAAUGGGCGCAAGCCUGAUGCAGCCAUGCGGCGUGUAUGAAGAAGGCCUUCGGGUUGUAAAGUACUUUCAGCGGGGAGGCGUUAACGGCAGAAGAAGCACCGGCUAACUCCGUGCCAGCCGCCGCGGUAAUAC